UCCCCACACCGGUGAGAAUGCCCUUAACAUCAAUUUAGAUCAAAGGAGCAGGCAUUAAGCACACUAUUAGUAGCUCAAGAUGCCUUGCUUAACCACACCCCCAAGGGAAACAGCCAGUGAUAGAAAUUUAGCAAUGAACGCAAGUUUGACUAAGUUAUGCUACUCUAGGGUUGGUAAAUUUCGUGCCAGCCACCGCGGUCAUACGAUUAACCCAAACUAAUAAAUUCCCGGCGUAAAGCGUGAUUAGAACCAAGAACAGAAAAAAUAAAAUCAAAUAACAACUAAGCUGUAAAAAGUAAUAGUUACAAACAAAAAUAAGCAACGAAAGUGAUUUUAUAAUCUUCGAACUCACGAUAGCUAAGACCCAAACUGGGAUUAGAUACCCCACUAUGCUUAGCCCUAAACUUAAAUAAUUCCAUAACAAAAUUACUCGCCAGAGAACUACAAGCCAGAGCUUAAAACUCAAAGGACUUGGCGGUGCUUUAUACCCACCUAGAGGAGCCUGUUCUAUAAUCGAUAAACCCCGAUAAACCUUACCACUCUUUGCCAACUCAGCCUAUAUACCGCCAUCUUCAGCGAACCCUGAAAAGGAACAAAAGUAAGCUCAAUUAUCCCCAUAAAAACGUUAGGUCAAGGUGUAGCCUAUAGAGUGGAAAGUAAUGGGCUACAUUUUCUACCUCAGAACAUACGAAAGCCCUUAUGAAACUCUAAGAGCCAAAGGAGGAUUU
This is a ribosomal RNA of 728 nucleotides. It matches the Rfam family "Bacterial small subunit ribosomal RNA", at positions 305 to 1333 of the family's 1533-position model.